GACGAACGCUGGCGGCGUGCUUAACACAUGCAAGUCGAACGGAAAGGCCCUGCUUUUGUGGGGUGCUCGAGUGGCGAACGGGUGAGUAACACGUGAGUAACCUGCCCUUGACUUUGGGAUAACUUCAGGAAACUGGGGCUAAUACCGGAUAGGAGCUCCUGCUGCAUGGUGGGGGUUGGAAAGUUUCGGCGGUUGGGGAUGGACUCGCGGCUUAUCAGCUUGUUGGUGGGGUAGUGGCUUACCAAGGCUUUGACGGGUAGCCGGCCUGAGAGGGUGACCGGCCACAUUGGGACUGAGAUACGGCCCAGACUCCUACGGGAGGCAGCAGUGGGGAAUAUUGCACAAUGGGCGGAAGCCUGAUGCAGCAACGCCGCGUGCGGGAUGAAGGCCUUCGGGUUGUAAACCGCUUACGCCUGUGACGAAGCGUGAGUGACGGUAAUGGGUAAAGAAGCACCGGCUAACUACGUG
This 468-nucleotide ribosomal RNA is filed under the name uncultured bacterium. RNAcentral describes it as "partial 16S ribosomal RNA". It matches the Rfam family "Bacterial small subunit ribosomal RNA", at positions 28 to 507 of the family's 1533-position model. The record is from RNAcentral.